CGCAACCCUUAUCGUUAGUUGCUACCAUUAAGUUGAGCACUCUAGCGAGACUGCCCGGGUUAACCGGGAGGAAGGUGGGGAUGACGUCAAAUCAUCAUGCCCCUUAUGUCUAGGGCUACACACGUGCUACAAUGGUGAGGACAAAGAGACGCAAGACCGCGAGGUGGAGCAAAUCUCACAAACCUCAUCCCAGUUCGGAUUGCAGGCUGAAACUCGCCUGCAUGAAGCCGGAGUUGCUAGUAAUCGCGAAUCAGCAUGUCCGCGGUCCCGAAUACGUUCCGGCCUU
Molecule: ribosomal RNA, 286 nt
Filed under: uncultured Clostridium sp.
Lineage: Bacteria; Bacillati; Bacillota; Clostridia; Eubacteriales; Clostridiaceae
Description: partial 16S ribosomal RNA
Rfam family: Bacterial small subunit ribosomal RNA
Source: RNAcentral